RNAcentral lists this ribosomal RNA (935 nucleotides) under Salmonella enterica. RNAcentral's name for it is "partial 23S ribosomal RNA". It matches the Rfam family "Bacterial large subunit ribosomal RNA", at positions 711 to 1643 of the family's 2925-position model. RNAcentral also lists the same sequence under 1 other name. Lineage: Bacteria; Pseudomonadati; Pseudomonadota; Gammaproteobacteria; Enterobacterales; Enterobacteriaceae. The record is from RNAcentral.
AGACCCGAAACCCGGUGAUCUAGCCAUGGGCAGGUUGAAGGUUGGGUAACACUAACUGGAGGACCGAACCGACUAAUGUUGAAAAAUUAGCGGAUGACCUGUGGCUGGGGGUGAAAGGCCAAUCAAACCGGGAGAUAGCUGGUUCUCCCCGAAAGCUAUUUAGGUAGCGCCUCGUGAAUUCAUCUCCGGGGGUAGAGCACUGUUUCGGCUAGGGGGCCAUCCCGGCUUACCAACCCGAUGCAAACUGCGAAUACCGGAGAAUGUUAUCACGGGAGACACACGGCGGGUGCUAACGUCCGUCGUGAAGAGGGAAACAACCCAGACCGCCAGCUAAGGUCCCAAAGUCAUGGUUAAGUGGGAAACGAUGUGGGAAGGCCCAGACAGCCAGGAUGUUGGCUUAGAAGCAGCCAUCAUUUAAAGAAAGCGUAAUAGCUCACUGGUCGAGUCGGCCUGCGCGGAAGAUGUAACGGGGCUAAACCAUGCACCGAAGCUGCGGCAGCGACGCUGAUGCGUUGUUGGGUAGGGGAGCGUUCUGUAAGCCUGUGAAGGUGGCCUGUGAGGGUUGCUGGAGGUAUCAGAAGUGCGAAUGCUGACAUAAGUAACGAUAAAGCGGGUGAAAAGCCCGCUCGCCGGAAGACCAAGGGUUCCUGUCCAACGUUAAUCGGGGCAGGGUGAGUCGACCCCUAAGGCGAGGCCGAAAGGCGUAGUCGAUGGGAAACGGGUUAAUAUUCCCGUACUUGGUGUUACUGCGAAGGGGGGACGGAGAAGGCUAUGUUGGCCGGGCGACGGUUGUCCCGGUUUAAGCGUGUAGGUGUGUGUUCCAGGUAAAUCCGGUUCACUUUAACACUGAGGCGUGAUGACGAGGCACUACGGUGCUGAAGCAACAAAUGCCCUGCUUCCAGGAAAAGCCUCUAAGCAUCAGGUAACAUCAAAUC